UACGUAGGGUGCGAGCGUUAAUCGGAAUUACUGGGCGUAAAGCGUGCGCAGGCGGUGAUGUAAGACCGAUGUGAAAUCCCCGGGCUUAACCUGGGAACUGCAUUGGUGACUGCAUUGCUGGAGUAUGGCAGAGGGGGGGUGGAAUUCCACGUGUAGCAGUGAAAUGCGUAGAGAUGUGGAGGAACACCGAUGGCGAAGGCAGCCCCCUGGGCCAAUACUGACGCCUCAUGCA
Molecule: ribosomal RNA, 232 nt
Filed under: uncultured bacterium
Lineage: Bacteria
Description: partial 16S ribosomal RNA
Rfam family: Bacterial small subunit ribosomal RNA
Source: RNAcentral